UAGAGUAAGAGUGAACGUGUAUUCUUUAUUAGAAUAUUGAAAUAUCAAUUUUGAUCAAUUCAUUUCCCCUUCCUCUCCCAUUGGUUUUCUAUCCUCUCCAUCUUUUUAUCUUUAUCCCAAGAAUUCAUCCCCUUUUUUCCAUGGAUCUUGAAGCUUGUUGGUGGUUGAAGUCUUUUCAUGUCUAUUUUAUCCUUAUCUUCAUAAUAGUUUCAGUCUUCUCUCUUUUUUUCUAUAUAGUGAAGCUAAAACUUUGGUGCAACUGUGAAAUUUGCCAUGCUUAUGUCACAACAAGUUGGUCUUCACAAUUCACCAAUUUGUGUGAUUGGUACACUCACCUUCUUCAAAAUUCACCUACAAGAACCAUUCAUAUUCAUGUUCUUGGUAAUACCAUCACUGCGAAUCCUGAAAACGUCGAGUAUAUGCUUAAAACAAGAUUUGAUAAUUACCCAAAAGGGAAAACUUUCUCUACUAUCUUAGGUGAUUUUCUUGGUCGUGGUAUAUUCAACGUUGAUGGCGAUUUAUGGCGAUUUCAAAGGAGAAUGUCAAGUCUUGAACUUGGAAAAGUCUCCAUACGUUCAUAUGCAUUUGAAGUGGUAAAUAAUGAGAUUCAAAAGAGGCUUCUUCCACUUUUAGCUAAUAAAGAAGGUGUGGUUUUGGAUUUUCAAGAUGUUUUUAGAAGAUUUUCAUUUGAUAAUAUUUGUAGAUUUUCCUUUGGGUUGGACCCUAAAUGUUUAGAAUCUUCACUACCCAUCUCAGAAUUUGCAGUUUCCCUUGACCUAGCAUCAAAAUUAUCAGCUGAAAGAGCCAUGACUACAUCACCUAUUGUUUGGAAAAUCAAAAGAUUUUUAAACAUAGGGAGCGAAAGGAAGUUGAAGAAAGCAAUCAAAUUGAUCAAUAUACUAGCACAAGAAGUCAUAAGGCAAAAGAGAAAAUUAGGUUUUUCAAAUCAUAGGGAUCUUCUUUCAAGAUUCAUGGGAACAAUAAGUGAUGAAACUUAUUUAAGAGAUAUUGUCAUAAGUUUUCUCUUAGCUGGUCGAGAUACUAUUGCUUCUGCCUUAAUAAGUUUCUUUUAUGUAAUUGCAAAUCAUCCACAAGUGGCUAAAUCCAUUAGAGAAGAAGCUGAUAGAGUUCUUGGUCCAAAUAAAGAUCUCAAAAGUUGUGAACAAAUGAGUGAGCUUCAUUAUCUACAAGCUUCCAUUUAUGAAAGUAUGAGACUUUACCCUCCUAUCCAAUUUGAUUCAAAGUUUUGUUUAGAAGAUGAUAUUUUACCUGAUGGGACUUUUGUGAAGAAAGGAACAAGGGUUACGUAUCAUCCUUAUGCAAUGGGAAGAAUGGAAGAAUUAUGGGGUUGUGAUUCUUUGGAGUUUAAGCCUGAAAGAUGGUUGAAAGAUGGAAUUUUUUUUCAAGAAAAUCCAUUCAAGUAUCCAGUUUUUCAAGCUGGACUUAGGGUCUGUUUGGGGAAAGAAAUGGCACUUGUUGAGAUUAAAAGUGUGGCUCUUUCGUUGCUAAGGCGAUUUAAUGUCGAAUUAGCCCAACCAUAUCACACGCCACGCUUCUCUCCUGGACUUACUGCGUCUUUCAGGGGUGGCUUGAUGGUUUCAGUGCGAGAAAUAAGUCCAUAUAGUCAUCAAAGAUGAAUUCAGAAUGGUUGUGAUCGAUUAUAUAUAUACAGUAAGUCCUUUUUUUCUAUAUGUAUAUAUAUGGUUCGAGUAAAAAAUAGUGGAUUCAAUUGAACCUGCUAUACUCGCUCUAGAUUUGACUACGUGAAUAGUUGAUUGUAUAUCAUGGUAACUUACUGUAUGUGGUGUAGCAUCCUCAAGCAACCCUAAUCUUGGAAGGCCAAUGUUAGCAGUUUUUUGUGGUAUAUACAUAUAUUGAACCAUUCAAGGAGAGGACAUGGAUCGAAACUUCAAGUCAAGUAAAACGUUUUUGACCCUCUCUUUUGGCCAAGCUUUCUUUAUGUAUGGUAAUAUUCGAAUAUUUGCGUUGAAGUGGUUCUCUUUUUAAUCUAUUUUUUCCAAGAUUGUACAAACGAUCUAGCUAUGUAGAAGAAGCUGCAGGCUUUGAUGUAUGGACUCCUUUAGCUCACUUGUUCACACAAGUUGUGCAAUUUAUGUCGCUGAUUGAAGAUUUUGUAUAUAUGAAUGAACUACUACUCCA
RNA transcript from Nicotiana tabacum (common tobacco), 2160 nucleotides. It is a transcript of the gene named cytochrome P450 94C1-like, with no coding region annotated. The record is from RefSeq and is a predicted model, not a curated record. NCBI's taxonomy places the organism in Eukaryota, Viridiplantae, Streptophyta, Magnoliopsida, Solanales, Solanaceae.